GGACUUGGCUCAGUUGGUAAAGCACCCGCUUUCAUACAGAAGGUCCUGAGUUUGAUCCCCAGCCUCUCCA
Non-coding RNA from Podarcis lilfordi (Lilford's wall lizard), 70 nucleotides. Lineage: Eukaryota; Metazoa; Chordata; Lepidosauria; Squamata; Lacertidae. The record is from the annotation of a GenBank genome assembly.